CCCCCUGUGGCUCAGUUGGUAGAGCAUGGUGUGUGCAACACCAGGGUUGUGGGUUUGAUUCCCACGGGGGGC
RNAcentral lists this transfer RNA (72 nucleotides) under Salmo salar (Atlantic salmon). It matches the Rfam family "tRNA". Rfam says of the family: Transfer RNA (tRNA) molecules are approximately 80 nucleotides in length. Their secondary structure includes four short double-helical elements and three loops (D, anti-codon, and T loops). Further hydrogen bonds mediate the characteristic L-shaped molecular structure. tRNAs have two regions of fundamental functional importance: the anti-codon, which is responsible for specific mRNA codon recognition, and the 3' end, to which the tRNAs corresponding amino acid is attached (by aminoacyl-tRNA synthetases). tRNAs cope with the degeneracy of the genetic code in two manners: having more than one tRNA (with a specific anti-codon) for a particular amino acid; and 'wobble' base-pairing, i.e. permitting non-standard base-pairing at the 3rd anti-codon position. The record is from Rfam by way of RNAcentral. Lineage: Eukaryota; Metazoa; Chordata; Actinopteri; Salmoniformes; Salmonidae.